CCUACGGGUGGCAGCAGUGAGGAAUAUUGGUCAAUGGACGAGAGUCUGAACCAGCCAAGUAGCGUGAAGGAUGACUGCCCUAUGGGUUGUAAACUUCUUUUAUAAAGGAAUAAAACGAGGCACGUGUGCCUUUUUGCAUGUACUUUAUGAAUAAGGAUCGGCUAACUCCGUGCCAGCAGCCGCGGUAAUACGGAGGAUCCGAGCGUUAUCCGGAUUUAUUGGGUUUAAAGGGAGCGUAGAUGGGUUGUUAAGUCAGUUGUGAAAGUUUGCGGCUCAACCGUAAAAUUGCAAUUGAUACUUGCAGUCUAGAGUACAGUUGAGGUAGGCGGAAUUCGUGGUGUAGCGGUGAAAUGCUUAGAGAUCACGAAGAACCCCGAUUGCGAAGGCAGCUUACUAAGCUGUGACUGACAUUGAUGCUCGAAAGUGUGGGUAUCAAACAGGAUUAGAUACCCUUGUAGUC
This 460-nucleotide ribosomal RNA is filed under the name uncultured bacterium. RNAcentral describes it as "partial 16S ribosomal RNA". It matches the Rfam family "Bacterial small subunit ribosomal RNA", at positions 338 to 795 of the family's 1533-position model. The record is from RNAcentral.